GAGUUUGAUCAUGGCUCAGAUUGAACGCUGGCGGCAGGCCUAACACAUGCAAGUCGAGCGGCAGCACGGGGAGCUUGCUCCCUGGUGGCGAGCGGCGGACGGGUGAGUAAUGCAUAGGAAUCUGCCCGGUAGUGGGGGAUAACGUGGGGAAACCCACGCUAAUACCGCAUACGUCCUACGGGAGAAAGCGGAGGAUCUUCGGACUUCGCGCUAUCGGAUGAGCCUAUGUCGGAUUAGCUAGUUGGUAAGGUAACGGCUUACCAAGGCGACGAUCCGUAGCUGGUCUGAGAGGAUGAUCAGCCACACCGGGACUGAGACACGGCCCGGACUCCUACGGGAGGCAGCAGUGGGGAAUAUUGGACAAUGGGGGAAACCCUGAUCCAGCCAUGCCGCGUGUGUGAAGAAGGCUUUCGGGUUGUAAAGCACUUUCAGCGGGGAAGAAGGCAUGGCGAUUAAUACCCGCCAUGAAGGACAUCACCCGCAGAAGAAGCACCGGCUAACUCCGUGCCAGCAGCCGCGGUAAUACGGAGGGUGCAAGCGUUAAUCGGAAUUACUGGGCGUAAAGGGCGCGUAGGCGGCCUGCCAAGCCGGAUGUGAAAGCCCCGGGCUCAACCCGGGAACGGCAUUCGGAACUGGCAGGCUAGAGUGCAGGAGAGGAAGGUGGAAUUCCCGGUGUAGCGGUGAAAUGCGUAGAGAUCGGGAGGAAUACCAGUGGCGAAGGCGGCCUUCUGGACUGACACUGACGCUGAGGCGCGAAAGCGUGGGUAGCAAACAGGAUUAGAUACCCUGGUAGUCCACGCCGUAAACGAUGUCGACCAGCCGUUGGACCCCUUGAGGGUCUGGUGGCGCAGUUAACGCAAUAAGUCGACGGCCUGGGGAGUACGGCCGCAAGGGCUAAACUCAAAUG
Molecule: ribosomal RNA, 907 nt
Filed under: uncultured bacterium
Lineage: Bacteria
Description: bacterial SSU rRNA
Rfam family: Bacterial small subunit ribosomal RNA
Source: RNAcentral